AACGAACGCUGGCGGCAGGCCUAACACAUGCAAGUCGAGCGAGGACUUCGGUUCUAGCGGCGGACGGGUGAGUAACGCGUGGGAAUGUGCCCUUCUCUACGGAAUAGCCCUGGGAAACUGGGAGUAAUACCGUAUACGCCCUAGUGGGGAAAGAUUUAUCGGAGAAGGAUCAGCCCGCGUUGGAUUAGGUAGUUGGUGGGGUAAUGGCCUACCAAGCCGACGAUCCAUAGCUGGUUUGAGAGGAUGAUCAGCCACACUGGGACUGAGACACGGCCCAGACUCCUACGGGAGGCAGCAGUGGGGAAUCUUAGACAAUGGGGGCAACCCUGAUCGAGCCAUGCCGCGUGAGUGAUGAAGGCCUUAGGGUUGUAAAGCUCUUUCAGCUGGGAAGAUAAUGACGGUACCAGCAGAAGAAGCCCCGGCUAACUCCGUG
Molecule: ribosomal RNA, 433 nt
Filed under: uncultured bacterium
Lineage: Bacteria
Description: partial 16S ribosomal RNA
Rfam family: Bacterial small subunit ribosomal RNA
Source: RNAcentral